This 344-nucleotide unclassified non-coding RNA is filed under the name soil metagenome. RNAcentral describes it as "partial contains 5.8S ribosomal RNA, internal transcribed spacer 2, and large subunit ribosomal RNA". The stretch from base 1 to 120 matches the Rfam family "5.8S ribosomal RNA", at positions 35 to 154 of the family's 154-position model. The record is from RNAcentral.
GAUGAAGAACGUAGCGAAAUGCGAUAACUAAUGUGAAUUGCAGAAUUCAGUGAAUCAUCGAGUCUUUGAACGCACAUUGCGCCCCCUGGUAUUCCGGGGGGCAUGCCUGUCCGAGCGUCAUUGCUGCCCUCAAGCCCGGCUUGUGUGUUGGGCCCCGUCCCCCUCUCCGGGGGACGGGCCCGAAAGGCAGCGGCGGCACCGAGUCCGGUCCUCGAGCGUAUGGGGCUUUGUCACCCGCUCUGUAGGCCCGGCCGGCGCCAGCCGACAACCCAUCAUCCUUUUCAGGUUGACCUCGGAUCAGGUAGGGAUACCCGCUGAACUUAAGCAUAUCAAUAAGCGGAGGA